GGAAACUGAACUCUGUACAAUCCAUACCGGUGAAACAUUGUGCAGAGU
The submitters of this non-coding RNA (48 nucleotides) gave its source as unclassified sequences. The record is from Rfam.